GACGAACGCUGGCGGCGUGCUUAACACAUGCAAGUCGAACGGAAAGGCCCUGCUUUUGUGGGGUGCUCGAGUGGCGAACGGGUGAGUAACACGUGAGUAACCUGCCCUUGACUUUGGGAUAACUUCAGGAAACUGGGGCUAAUACCGGAUAGGAGCUCCUGCUGCAUGGUGGGGGUUGGAAAGUUUCGGCGGUUGGGGAUGGACUCGCGGCUUAUCAGCUUGUUGGUGGGGUAGUGGCUGACCAAGGCUUUGACGGGUAGCCGGCCUGAGAGGGGGACCGGCCACAUUGGGACUGAGAUACGGCCCAGACUCCUACGGGAGGCAGCAGUGGGGAAUAUUGCACAAUGGGCGGAAGCCUAAUGCAGCAACGCCGCGUGCGGGAUGACGGCCUUCGGGUUGUAAACCGCUUUCGCCUGUGACGAAGCGUGAGUGACGGUAAUGGGUAAAGAAGCACCGGCUAACUACGUG
Molecule: ribosomal RNA, 468 nt
Filed under: uncultured bacterium
Lineage: Bacteria
Description: partial 16S ribosomal RNA
Rfam family: Bacterial small subunit ribosomal RNA
Source: RNAcentral